RNAcentral lists this ribosomal RNA (628 nucleotides) under uncultured bacterium. Its description in RNAcentral is "bacterial SSU rRNA". It matches the Rfam family "Bacterial small subunit ribosomal RNA", at positions 60 to 734 of the family's 1533-position model. The record is from RNAcentral.
AGUCGAGCGGGCCUUUCGGGGUCAGCGGCGGACGGGUGAGUAACGCGUGGGAACGUGCCCUCUGGUUCGGAAUAACUCAGGGAAACUUGAGCUAAUACCGGAUACGCCCUUUUGGGGAAAGGCUUGCUGCCGGAGGAUCGGCCCGCGUCUGAUUAGCUAGUUGGUGAGGUAACGGCUCACCAAGGCGACGAUCAGUAGCUGGUCUGAGAGGAUGAUCAGACACACUGGGACUGAGACACGGCCCAGACUCCUACGGGAGGCAGCAGUGGGGAAUAUUGGACAAUGGGCGCAAGCCUGAUCCAGCCAUGCCGCGUGAGUGAUGAAGGCCUUAGGGUUGUAAAGCUCUUUUAUCCGGGACGAUAAUGACGGUACCGGAGGAAUAAGCCCCGGCUAACUUCGUGCCAGCAGCCGCGGUAAUACGAAGGGGGCUAGCGUUGCUCGGAAUCACUGGGCGUAAAGGGCGCGUAGGCGGCGUUUUAAGUCGGGGGUGAAAGCCUGUGGCUCAACCACAGAAUGGCCUUCGAUACUGGGACGCUUGAGUAUGGUAGAGGUUGGUGGAACUGCGAGUGUAGAGGUGAAAUUCGUAGAUAUUCGCAAGAACACCGGUGGCGAAGGCGGCCAACUGGAC